AGUCGAACGGAGAUUACAGGCGGAAGUUUUCGGAUGGAAGCUUGUAAACUUAGUGGCGGACGGGUGAGUAACACGUGAGCAACCUGCCUACCAGAGGGGGAUAACGAUUGGAAACGAUCGCUAAUACCGCAUGACAUAGCGGAAUCGCAUGGUUCUGUUAUCAAAGAUUUUAUCGCUGAUAGAUGGGCUCGCGUCCGAUUAGAUAGUUGGUGGGGUAACGGCCUACCAAGUCGACGAUCGGCAGCCGGACUGAGAGGUCGAACGGCCACAUUGGGACUGAGACACGGCCCAGACUCCUACGGGAGGCAGCAGUGGGGGAUAUUGCACAAUGGGGGAAACCCUGAUGCAGCGACGCCGCGUGAGGGAAGACGGUCCUCUGGAUUGUAAACCUCUGUCUUCGGGGACGAAACGAGACGGUACCCGAGGAGGAAGCCACGGCUAACUACGUGCCAGCAGCCGCGGUAAUACGUAGGUGGCAAGCGUUGUCCGGAAUUACUGGGUGUAAAGGGAGCGUAGGCGGGCAGGCAAGUCAGGCGUGAAAUAUAUCGGCUCAACCGGUAACGGCGCUUGAAACUGCAGGUCUUGAGUGAAGUAGAGGUUGGCGGAAUUCCUAGUGUAGCGGUGAAAUGCGUAGAUAUUAG
This 641-nucleotide ribosomal RNA is filed under the name uncultured bacterium. Its description in RNAcentral is "bacterial SSU rRNA". It matches the Rfam family "Bacterial small subunit ribosomal RNA", at positions 60 to 700 of the family's 1533-position model. The record is from RNAcentral.